Populus nigra (black poplar) is the source of this 408-nucleotide long non-coding RNA. RefSeq lists it as uncharacterized. The transcript has 3 exons. The record is from RefSeq and is a predicted model, not a curated record. Lineage: Eukaryota; Viridiplantae; Streptophyta; Magnoliopsida; Malpighiales; Salicaceae.
AUACUGGGAAAUAUGGCUCGUGAUUUCUUAGCAAUUCCAGUAUCAACUGUCAUUUCCAAGUCAUCAGAGGUUAUGAAGAUGGCAUCAGUCCAUGACUGUGUUCGUCCUGACAUAGCUGAGGCUUUGAUAUGUGGAAAGGAUUGGUUGGACAACCCUACCUGGAACAAUUGAUCCAUGUUUGGAUCCUCACUGGUAGUUGCUACUUGCUAGUAGUGUGAAAUAAAUUUUUCCCAGGGUCAACCAGGCUGAGCAUAUCUGAUUUGGAUGCUGUAGAAGAAUAGUACUGGACAUAAGAACCUGAAGUGACGAAGACUUAUUAUUUGCUCAAUUUUAUAGAUGUAAGAAAUAAUUUGAAACUACGUGUGAGUCCGUUUUGGCUUAAAACAAAGCAAGAAACUGAUGUUUUUU